GACGAACGCUGGCGGCGUGCUUAACACAUGCAAGUCGAACGGAAAGGCCCUGCUUUUGUGGGGUGCUCGAGUGGCGAACGGGUGAGUAACACGUGAGUAACCUGCCCUUGACUUUGGGAUAACUUCAGGAAACUGGGGCUAAUACCGGAUAGGAGCUCCUGCUGCAUGGUGUGGGUUGGAAAGUUUCGGCGGGUGGGGAUGGACUCGCGGCUUAUCAGCUUGUUGGUGGGGUAGUGGCUUACCAAGGCUUUGACGGGUAGCCGGCCUGAGAGGGUGACCGGCCACAUUGGGACUGAGAUACGGCCCAGACUCCUACGGGAGGCAGCAGUGGGGAAUAUUGCACAAUGGGCGGAAGCCUGAUGCAGCAACGCCGCGUGCGGGAUGACGGCCUUCGGGUUGUAAACCGCUUUCGCCUGUGACGAAGCGUGAGUGACGGUAAUGGGUAAAGAAGCACCGGCUAACUACGUG
This 468-nucleotide ribosomal RNA is filed under the name uncultured bacterium. RNAcentral describes it as "partial 16S ribosomal RNA". It matches the Rfam family "Bacterial small subunit ribosomal RNA", at positions 28 to 507 of the family's 1533-position model. The record is from RNAcentral.